This 464-nucleotide ribosomal RNA is filed under the name Vreelandella stevensii. RNAcentral describes it as "partial 16S ribosomal RNA". It matches the Rfam family "Bacterial small subunit ribosomal RNA", at positions 338 to 794 of the family's 1533-position model. The record is from RNAcentral. Lineage: Bacteria; Pseudomonadati; Pseudomonadota; Gammaproteobacteria; Oceanospirillales; Halomonadaceae.
CCUACGGGGUGCUGCAGUGGGGAAUAUUGGACAAUGGGCGAAAGCCUGAUCCAGCCAUGCCGCGUGUGUGAAGAAGGCCAUCGGGUUGUAAAGCACUUUCAGUGGGGAAGAAAGCCUUGGGGCUAAUACCCUCGAGGAAGGACAUCACCCACAGAAGAAGCACCGGCUAACUCCGUGCCAGCAGCCGCGGUAAUACGGAGGGUGCGAGCGUUAAUCGGAAUUACUGGGCGUAAAGCGCGCGUAGGCGGUCUGAUAAGCCGGUUGUGAAAGCCCCGGGCUCAACCUGGGAACGGCAUCCGGAACUGUCAGGCUAGAGUGCAGGAGAGGAAGGUAGAAUUCCCGGUGUAGCGGUGAAAUGCGUAGAGAUCGGGAGGAAUACCAGUGGCGAAGGCGGCCUUCUGGACUGACACUGACGCUGAGGUGCGAAAGCGUGGGUAGCAAACAGGAUUAGAUACCCUAGUAGU